This 323-nucleotide unclassified non-coding RNA is filed under the name Ascomycota sp. Its description in RNAcentral is "partial contains small subunit ribosomal RNA, internal transcribed spacer 1, and 5.8S ribosomal RNA". The stretch from base 1 to 47 matches the Rfam family "Eukaryotic small subunit ribosomal RNA", at positions 1785 to 1831 of the family's 1831-position model. The record is from RNAcentral. Lineage: Eukaryota; Fungi; Ascomycota.
AAAGUCGUAACAAGGUUUCCGUAGGUGAACCUGCGGAAGGAUCAUUAUUAACGUUCCAGCCGAAAGGCACGGAGCAAAUCAGCACUGACCCGCACGCCCCGUCCCCUUCGGGGGGAGGCGCGUGUUGAAGUUGCGGUUUAUGUGUCCACCCUUUGUGAAACUUCAAUCUUUGCUUCGGCAGCACCGGUUGCGGAUGACCGCUCGGGUAAGGCUGUCGGAAGCUCAAAACAGAAACUAUUAAUGAAAUGUCAUGCUGUCUGAUACCACGCAAUUUGAGAAAUCAAAUGACAUUAAAACUUUCAGCAACGGAUCUCUUGGUUCCC